CGCCGCCAACUUUCACCCCGGAGCCGCUCGUCACAAGGAGCCUGGGCAACCGCACAGGAAGCGACGGCCCCAACGUCACCCAGGGAGGAGGCCCUUCGCAGCAGGGACAGCCUGACAGGCAGGCACGGUCAAUGGAUCCCGUGGGGGAGAAGUAUGAAAAUGUGAAAAAUGAAGUAUCAUUGAAGUCCAUCUUUUUCAAGAAUUUUCAACUGCUAUCUGGAAUCAACAAAGUAUGCUGCAAAUGUCUACAGGAAAACUAUUUUGUUUUCCCUUCAAUUUAGUCUUUAAGAGUAUUCUUAACUUCAGAAAUGUAGCAUCUGUUCCACCAUACUGAGAGUGCAGAACAAGAAUUGAAUCUCCGCUGGAGGAUAGAGAUUUAGUGCACAUUUACUCAUUGGCUAUGAACAGAAUAUUAUUGAGGUGAUAUCUGUGCUUUCAACGAUCUCCAGUUCCUCAAGACAUUUAGAAGUCCCAAGUGAAAAGCAAGUAACCUGAGAUUGCAUUUCAAACAAAGGAGUAGUCCAUGCUCAUCACUCUGUACCAAAGGGCAGCCUGUUCUUGAUUUAAUUCUGUAACAAUGAAAAUGUGAUAUUCUUCAGUUCAAAACUGCAUCAAUUUUCUUUCUUCUUCUUUCUGUUCAAUAUACUUUUUGUUUUUUUUUCCUCUAGUACUAUAUUUCAACAUCUACAAUAAUUUUGUUUAAUAUCCAGCAAAAUAAAUUAAUAAUGAAAAUUCACAAGCUUGUGAAUACACAAUAAAAUCGCUAUUAAUAAAAAUUGGAUAACCUAAAGUGGCAGUCAAGUUGAAAUUGUGUCAAAAUUCUCUGAGCAGAAUAGGAAGUACAAUAGAAUGAUUCUUAUGGUAAAUCAAAGUUGCAGAAUGGUCACUCCAGAUUCACCGAAUCAGACCAAGAAGGUUACCUCAAGCAAUUGGAGCAGAGUUAGGUAUUGCUACAGUGCAAAGUCAUGGGUGAGCCAUCAGCUGACAAUGAGACCUCUCUGAAAUCCAAUGUGUAGGCUAAACCUGUGAGAAGGUUAUAAGUGCUGUCAAUUACAGACAAAGUGAAUUGAUACAGGGAAUGAAAAACUGGUGUGAAUUAAGAAGUGGACAUCACAAUGGAGUGGGAGGUGUUGCAAUCAAAUUUGCCAACCAUUCUGAAAAUCUUGGAACAGUCCAACAACUAACUGCAGGAAGUCCCUGUGUUAUAAACAUCCUGUACUUAUGAAGUGACCUCCUGCUUCUCAUUUUUAAAAAUCUGAGUUACGUACAAUGUUUUAUCCUAAUGAACGGGCAGACUAAUUAGCCCGUUUCUGUUCUGACUAACACACAAAUUUGGCUUACAAACAGCGGAGAAAUGGAACUCAUUCGUAGCCUGGGGACUUCCUGUAUAUUUUCCAGCAAAGAAGAGUAACUGCCUAUCCCAAUGUCAAAGAAACUCUACGUGGCAAAAGGCAUCGUGUACUGAAAACAUUUCCAUCUCCGGUCCAAUUUUUUAGGAAAGGAACCUAAAAACCAACUAUUGAUUCUCGAGACCAUUGAUAAAAAGCAGAAGCAGAAGAGGUCACGUAAACACAAUGAAGAUGGUUAUGAAAGCCACUAUCACCAACUGCUUCCAUCACGUUGGGUUCAUAUAGGCUACGUCCAUAAGAUGUCAAGAAUAUUGGAGAGCAAGAUGAGGCCAUCUUACCUCAUGACAACACUCUUUUUGCUUGCCUGUAGAAGGCUAUUAUGGAAAUUCCAGCAUAAACAACUACAGAAGCUUGCAACAAUUAGAUUACUUACAGUGUGGAAACAAGCCCUUCCGCCCAUCAAGUCAACACCGAUCCACCGAAGCGCAACCC
Non-coding RNA from Chiloscyllium plagiosum (whitespotted bambooshark), 1841 nucleotides. NCBI's taxonomy places the organism in Eukaryota, Metazoa, Chordata, Chondrichthyes, Orectolobiformes, Hemiscylliidae. The record is from RefSeq and is a predicted model, not a curated record.